UUUGGAAGGGAAAGAAGGGUUGCAGAUGUCCCAACAGAUCAUCCUUCCUGCAGCAAGCAACAUGCUGUUAUCCAAUUUAGGCAAGUCGAAAAGGAGCAACCUGAUGGUAUGAUGUUGAAACAAAUAAGGCCUUACUUAAUGGACCUCGGAAGCACCAACAAAACUUUCAUUAAUGAGAGCCCCAUUGAACCUCAACGUUAUUAUGAGCUACGUGAGAAGGACACAAUUAGAUUCGGCAACAGUAGCCGAGAGUAUGUGUUAUUACAUGAAAACUCUAUUGGGUGAUGAGCAGAGUCUUGGUCAAAUCUUGCCCUUUCUGCUCAUUGGAAGUGACAAACACUCCCAUCAGCAGGUUAUUUUGAUCAUGUUCAUCUUCUGUGUAUUUAAUUUCUCUUGAUAGAUGCCAUGUUGCUUGAAUUUUGGUAAUUUUUUCUGUAGAAUACAACACCAAGAUAUCAAAAAAAAAAAUAUUGGCUGUAACACCUAGUGUAUGCGCUUAUGAAUGUUAAUGAGAUGCGAUUAGACUUUAUUUUAAUAAGACGAUGGCAUUGUUAAUUUCAAAAGA
This is a long non-coding RNA of Neltuma alba, 565 nucleotides long. RefSeq lists it as uncharacterized. Lineage: Eukaryota; Viridiplantae; Streptophyta; Magnoliopsida; Fabales; Fabaceae. The record is from RefSeq and is a predicted model, not a curated record. The transcript has 5 exons.